Molecule: ribosomal RNA, 694 nt
Filed under: uncultured bacterium
Lineage: Bacteria
Description: bacterial SSU rRNA
Rfam family: Bacterial small subunit ribosomal RNA
Source: RNAcentral
UGUUUCUGACGAGUGGCGGACGGGUGAGUAAUGUCUGGGAACUGCCUGAUGGAGGGGGAUAACUACUGGAAACGGUAGCUAAUACCGCAUAACACCAAAGAUUCGGGCCUCUUGCCAUCGGAUGUGCCCAGAUGGGAUUAGCUAGUAGGUGGGGUAACGGCUCACCUAGGCGACGAUCCCUAGCUGGUCUGAAGGAUGACCAGCCACACUGGAACUGAGACACGGCCCAGACUCCUACGGGAGGCAGCAGUGGGGGAUAUUGCACAAUGGAGGAAACUCUGAUGCAGCGACGCCGCGUGAGUGAAGAAGUAUUUCGGUAUGUAAAGCUCUAUCAGCAGGGAAGAAAUGACGGUACCUGACUAAGAAGCCCCGGCUAACUACGUGCCAGCAGCCGCGGUAAUACGUAGGGGGCAAGCGUUAUCCGGAUUUACUGGGUGUAAAGGGAGCGUAGACGGCGACGCAAGUCUGAAGUGAAAUACCCGGGCUCAACCUGGGAACUGCUUUGGAAACUGUGUUGCUAGAGUGCUGGAGAGGUAAGCGGAAUUCCUAGUGUAGCGGUGAAAUGCGUAGAUAUUAGGAAGAACACCAGUGGCGAAGGCGGCUUACUGGACAGUAACUGACGUUGAGGCUCGAAAGCGUGAGGAGCAAACAGGAUUAGAUACCCUGGUAGUCCACGCCGUAGACGAUGAAUACU